GGGCGCUUAGCUCAGCCUGGACAGAGUGACUGGCUUCGGACCAGUUUGUCGGGGGUUCGAAUCCCUCAGCGCCCG
RNAcentral lists this transfer RNA (75 nucleotides) under Halomarina oriensis. It matches the Rfam family "tRNA". From Rfam's summary of the family: Transfer RNA (tRNA) molecules are approximately 80 nucleotides in length. Their secondary structure includes four short double-helical elements and three loops (D, anti-codon, and T loops). Further hydrogen bonds mediate the characteristic L-shaped molecular structure. tRNAs have two regions of fundamental functional importance: the anti-codon, which is responsible for specific mRNA codon recognition, and the 3' end, to which the tRNAs corresponding amino acid is attached (by aminoacyl-tRNA synthetases). tRNAs cope with the degeneracy of the genetic code in two manners: having more than one tRNA (with a specific anti-codon) for a particular amino acid; and 'wobble' base-pairing, i.e. permitting non-standard base-pairing at the 3rd anti-codon position. Lineage: Archaea; Methanobacteriati; Methanobacteriota; Halobacteria; Halobacteriales; Natronomonadaceae. The record is from Rfam by way of RNAcentral. RNAcentral also lists the same sequence under 4 other names.